This 425-nucleotide ribosomal RNA is filed under the name uncultured bacterium. RNAcentral describes it as "bacterial SSU rRNA". It matches the Rfam family "Bacterial small subunit ribosomal RNA", at positions 8 to 433 of the family's 1533-position model. The record is from RNAcentral.
AGAGUUUGAUCCUGGCUCAGAUUGAACGCUGGCGGCAUGCCUUACACAUGCAAGUCGAACGGCAGCACGGGAGCUUGCUCCUGGUGGCGAGUGGCGAACGGGUGAGUAACACAUCGGAACGUACCCUGAAGUGGGGGAUAACGUAGCGAAAGUUACGCUAAUACCGCAUAUUCUGUGAGCAGGAAAGAGGGGGAUCGCAAGACCUCUUGCUUUAGGAGCGGCCGAUGUCGGAUUAGCUAGUUGGUGAGGUAAAGGCUCACCAAGGCGACGAUCCGUAGCGGGUCUGAGAGGAUGAUCCGCCACACUGGGACUGAGACACGGCCCAGACUCCUACGGGAGGCAGCAGUGGGGAAUUUUGGACAAUGGGCGCAAGCCUGAUCCAGCCAUGCCGCGUGAGUGAAGAAGGCCUUCGGGUUGUAAAGCUC